GACGAACGCUGGCGGCGUGCUUAACACAUGCAAGUCGAACGGAAAGGCCCUGCUUUUGUGGGGUGCUCGAGUGGCGAACGGGUGAGUAACACGUGAGUAACCUGCCCUUGACUUUGGGAUAACUUCAGGAAACUGGGGCUAAUACCGGAUAGGAGCUCCUGCUGCAUGGUGGGGGUUGGAAAGUUUCGGCGGUUGGGAUGGACUCGCGGCUUAUCAGCUUGUUGGUGGGGUAGUGGCUUACCAAGGCUUUGCCGGGUAGCCGGCCUGGGAGGGGGACCGGCCACAUUGCGACUGAGAUACGGCCCAGACUCCAAUGGGAGGCAGCGGUGGGGAAUAUUGCACAAUGGGCGGAAGCCUGAUGCAGCAACGCCGCGUGCGGGAAGACGGCCUUCGGGUUGUAAACCGCUUUCGCCUGUGACGAAGCGUGAGUGACGGUAAUGGGUAAAUAAGCACCGGCUAACUACGUG
This 467-nucleotide ribosomal RNA is filed under the name uncultured bacterium. RNAcentral's name for it is "partial 16S ribosomal RNA". It matches the Rfam family "Bacterial small subunit ribosomal RNA", at positions 28 to 507 of the family's 1533-position model. The record is from RNAcentral.